UGGGGUAUCGCCAAGUGGUAAGGCACUAGCUUUUGGUGCUAGCAUUCCUAGGUUCGAAUCCUAGUACCCCAUCCA
This 75-nucleotide transfer RNA is filed under the name Arcobacter sp. Its description in RNAcentral is "tRNA-Gln". It matches the Rfam family "tRNA". From Rfam's summary of the family: Transfer RNA (tRNA) molecules are approximately 80 nucleotides in length. Their secondary structure includes four short double-helical elements and three loops (D, anti-codon, and T loops). Lineage: Bacteria; Pseudomonadati; Campylobacterota; Epsilonproteobacteria; Campylobacterales; Arcobacteraceae. The record is from RNAcentral.